CAUGCAAGUCGAACGAGAAGCAGAUUUCGGUCUGUGGAAAGUGGCGGACGGGUGAGUAAUGCAUGGAUAUCUACCUUUUACUGGGGGAUAACGUCUGGAAACAGACGCUAAUACCGCAUAUUCCAUAUUGGGAAAGCUCCGGCGGUAAAAGAUGAGUCCAUGUCUGAUUAGCUAGUUGGUAGGGUAAAGGCCUACCAAGGCGACGAUCAGUAGCUGGUCUGAGAGGAUGACCAGCCACACUGGAACUGAGACACGGUCCAGACUCCUACGGGAGGCAGCAGUGGGGAAUAUUGGACAAUGGGCGCAAGCCUGAUCCAGCCAUGCCGCGUGAGUGAUGACGGCCUUCGGGUUGUAAAGCUCUUUCGCUAGGGAAGAAUUAAUGACGGUACCUAGAUAAGAAGUCCCGGCUAACUCCGUGCCAGCAGCCGCGGUGAUACGGAGGGGGCGAACGUUGUUCGGAUUUACUGGGCGUAAAGGGAUCGUAGGCGGUUAUUCAAGUCAGGUGUGAAAUCCCAGGGCUCAACCUUGGAACUGCAUUUGAAACUGGAUGACUAGAAUCAUGGAGAGGAUGGCGGAAUUGCCAGUGUAGAGGUGGAAUUCGUAGAUACUGGCAGGAACACCAGAAGAGAAGUCGGCUAUCUGGCCAUUGAUUGACGCUGAGGGUCGAAAGCGUGGGGAGCCAACAGGAUUAGAUACCCUGGUAGUCCACGCUGUAAACGAUGCAUGCUAGGUGUUGGCCUUAUGGGGUCGGUACUGUAGUUAACGCGCUAAGCAUGCCACCUGGGGAGUACGUCGGCAACGAUGAAACUCAAAGGAAUUGACGGGGGCCCGCACAAGCGGUGGAGCAUGUGGCUUAAUUCGAUGCAACGCGAAGAACCUUACCCGGGCUAAAUUCAUGGUGGCCGAUCCAGAGAUGGGUCUUUCCGUUUACGGACGCUAUGGAAGGUGCUGCAUGGCUGUCGGCAGCCCGUGCCGUGAGGUGUUGGGUUAAGUCCCGCAACGAGCGCAACCCCUAUGGUCAGUUACCAGCACGUUAAGGUGGGGACUCUGGCCAGACUGCCCGCGCAAGCGGUGAGGAAGGUGGGGACGACGUCAAGUCAUCAUGGCCCUUACGUCCGGGGCUGCACACGUGCUACAAUGGGACUGACAACGGGGAGCGACCCAGCGAUGGGCAGCGAAUCCUGAAAGGGUCUCCCAGUUCGGACUGCAGGCUGCAACUCGCCUGCAUGAAGGUGGAAUCGCUAGUAAUCGCGGAUCAGCUACGCCGCGGUGAAUACGUUCCCGGGCCUUGUACACACCGCCCGUCAAGCGAUGGAAGUCAGGAGUACCUGACCUGGCUGGGCUAACUUUCGAGGAGCAGGUCAGUAGGGUAAGUCUGAUAACUGGCGCUAAGUCGUAACAAGGUAACC
RNAcentral lists this ribosomal RNA (1409 nucleotides) under uncultured bacterium. Its description in RNAcentral is "16S ribosomal RNA". It matches the Rfam family "Bacterial small subunit ribosomal RNA". The record is from RNAcentral.